CGUGGGGUGCGAGCGUUAAUCGGAAUUACUGGGCGUAAAGCGUGCGCAGGCGGUUUUGUAAGCCAGAUGUGAAAUCCCCGGGCUUAACCUGGGAAUGGCAUUUGGGACUGCAAGGCUUGAGUGCGGCAGAGGAGACUGGAAUUCCCGGUGUAGCAGUGAAAUGCGUAGAUAUCGGGAGGAAUACCGAUGGCGAAGGCAGGUCUCUGGGCUGACACUGACGCUCAUGCACGAAAGCGUGGGGAGCAAACAGGAUUAGAUACCCUGGUAGUCCACGCCCUAAACGAUGUCGACUGGUUGUUGGGGGUUUGACACUCUCAGUAACGAAGCUAACGCGUGAAGUCGACCGCCUGGGGAGUACGGCCGCAAGGUUA
RNAcentral lists this ribosomal RNA (371 nucleotides) under uncultured organism. RNAcentral describes it as "bacterial SSU rRNA". It matches the Rfam family "Bacterial small subunit ribosomal RNA", at positions 526 to 896 of the family's 1533-position model. The record is from RNAcentral.